This 253-nucleotide ribosomal RNA is filed under the name uncultured bacterium. RNAcentral's name for it is "partial 16S ribosomal RNA". It matches the Rfam family "Bacterial small subunit ribosomal RNA", at positions 524 to 776 of the family's 1533-position model. The record is from RNAcentral.
UACAGGGGGUGCAAGCGUUGCUCGGAAUUACUGGGCGUAAAGCGUGCGCAGGCGGUCCGUAAAGUCGGGGGUGAAAACCCGGGGCUCAACCCCGGAAUUGCCUCCGAAACUGCCGGACUUGAGUACGAGAGAGGGUCGCGGAAUUCUUGGUGUAGAGGUGAAAUUCGUAGAUAUCAGGAAGAACACCAGUGGCGAAAGCGGCGACCUGGCUCGAUACUGACGCUCAUGCACGAAAGCGUGGGGAGCAAACAGG